UGGGGAAUAUUGGACAAUGGGCGAAAGCCUGAUCCAGCCAUGCCGCGUGUGUGAAGAAGGUCUUCGGAUUGUAAAGCACUUUAAGUUGGGAGGAAGGGCAGUAAGCGAAUACCUUGCUGUUUUGACGUUACCGACAGAAUAAGCACCGGCUAACUCUGUGCCAGCAGCCGCGGUAAUACAGAGGGUGCAAGCGUUAAUCGGAAUUACUGGGCGUAAAGCGCGCGUAGGUGGUUCGUUAAGUUGAAUGUGAAAGCCCCGGGCUCAACCUGGGAACUGCAUCCAAAACUGGCGAGCUAGAGUAGGGCAGAGGGUGGUGGAAUUUCCUGUGUAGCGGUGAAAUGCGUAGAUAUAGGAAGGAACACCAGUGGCGAAGGCGACCACCUGGGCUCAUAUUGACACUGAGGUGCGAAAGCGUGGGGAGCAAACAGG
This 429-nucleotide ribosomal RNA is filed under the name Pseudomonadota bacterium. RNAcentral describes it as "Proteobacteria bacterium partial 16S ribosomal RNA". It matches the Rfam family "Bacterial small subunit ribosomal RNA", at positions 355 to 776 of the family's 1533-position model. Lineage: Bacteria; Pseudomonadati; Pseudomonadota. The record is from RNAcentral.